Long non-coding RNA from Leopardus geoffroyi (Geoffroy's cat), 946 nucleotides. RefSeq lists it as uncharacterized. The transcript has 4 exons. NCBI's taxonomy places the organism in Eukaryota, Metazoa, Chordata, Mammalia, Carnivora, Felidae. The record is from RefSeq and is a predicted model, not a curated record.
ACCGCCACAGGUCAAAGUUCAACGUAAAUAACCAUCAUGAUCCAGUUAUCGUCUACACAGCAGUCAGGGUUGCUGGACACUGGGUCAUUUUACCAGUCCCAUUGCUAAUCGUAGUGUGAUUUUAAAUUCAGGAUUCUAUCCUCAGACAUUGAGUAUUUGAUCUUGGAUAAAGGGCAUCUCCUUCCUUAAGCAGAUCUCUUUGUAAAGCUGUAUGUGCCACCAGGCAGAACAUGUAAAGUCUUCUGCGGAAGUUUUGGGGUAGGUUUCUGUUCAUUAAUUUAUCCCACGGGCUUUCACCGCUACACGCCACACAUUGUUCUGUCAUAAUCAACCAGGUGGCAACAGAUCCUGAGAAGAGUAUGACCAGUCACUAGUCUCUAGCAACUGGAUAGAGCUAAACUCAGAGAGUAAAUAACUAAAAUGCAAUUAAAUUGCUGCUAUGGGGGAAGCGGCUGACUGCAAGGUCAGCAGUGACUCCAGAGGGUAAAAUUUUGAGUUUAAAGAGGGGUAGAAAAGGCAGACAAAGGAAGACCAUUCCAGUGAGAAGAAACACUAUUUGCAAUAACAACUACAAAUGCGAGGAGUAGUUCCUGUGGCUGCAACAUAGGCCAUUAAUGAAGAAUGGGACCAAACAAUGAAAAGCCUCCUCUGAUAACCUAGUAGGUUUCUUGGUUCUCUUGCCAAUUUGGAAUCAUAGAGGAUUUUAAAGAAGUCCCGUCUUCAAACUCAAACCUCAUUCUGGCUUCUGCGAUCAAUCACCUUUUGGGCUUUUCCGGUUGGCCAGGCUGCCGGCUUUGACACGAGCGCCUCUCAGCCCCGAGUGUAGAGUUCAAUCUUUGUCAUCAUGCAAAUAAUGUAAGAACGGCCAGUAGAAACAUUCCAGGAAAUUGUCCAAUCUCAUGAAGAAAGACAGUUUUCAGAGUAAACAUUAAAAAUAUUUUUGAGG